AUUGAACGCUGGCGGCAGGCCUAACACAUGCAAGUCGAACGAGUGGCGGACGGGUGAGUAAUGUCUGGGAAACUGCCUGAUGGAUGGGGAUAACUAUUGGAACCGGUAGCUAAUACCGCAUACCAUCAGAUGUGCCCAGGUGGGAUUCGCUAGUUGGUGGGGUCACGGGUCACCAAGGCGACGAUCCCUAGGUGGUCUGAGAGGGUGACCAGCCACACUGGAACUGUGACACGGUCCAGACUCCUACGGGCGGCAGCAGUGGAGAAUAUGGCACAAUGGGCGAAUGCCUGAAGCAGCCAUGCCGCGGGUAUGAAGGGGGCCUUCGGGUUGUAGAGUACUUUCAGCGGGGAGGCGUUACCCGCAGAAGAAGCACCGGCUAACUCCGGGCCAGCAGCCGCGGUAAUUC
Molecule: ribosomal RNA, 406 nt
Filed under: uncultured bacterium
Lineage: Bacteria
Description: partial 16S ribosomal RNA
Rfam family: Bacterial small subunit ribosomal RNA
Source: RNAcentral